AUGAGACAGAUGCGACCAUUUUCCAGAAUCAUGGUGUUGGCUAUUACGAUUGACUUAGAAGCAAUGUUUGGACAGGUUUACUGUGAAAAGGACAAGGCUCCGAUGAGCUUGGGUUUGUCUCAUAGUCUAUCCAGAUAUAAACUGAAGUUUAGUGCAGACAAGGUGGACACCAUGAUCGUCCAGGCUAUUGAUUUACUGGAUGAACUUGAUAAAUAG
Molecule: non-coding RNA, 216 nt
Organism: Vicia faba (fava bean)
Lineage: Eukaryota; Viridiplantae; Streptophyta; Magnoliopsida; Fabales; Fabaceae
Source: the annotation of a GenBank genome assembly